AUAAAAGUCAGAAUUGGUUACAAAGAAAUAAAAGGUAAAAUGCAACUAAUACCUAGCUUAAUAAGCUAAGUGAAUUAAAAGCAAAGUCUCUCUUCUUCAUAU
Molecule: non-coding RNA, 102 nt
Organism: Chelonoidis abingdonii (Abingdon island giant tortoise)
Lineage: Eukaryota; Metazoa; Chordata; Testudines; Testudinidae
Source: RefSeq, a predicted model, not a curated record